GUAUGUCACCAUAUAGGGAAAUCCCCAUUGAGGUCACUAUGACCUGGGGACUUGGGGCCAUCACCUUGGUCACUUUCUAAUACCUGCCACAGGCCUAAACACUCACCCUUGCCAUGUGAUGUUUCGAUGAUCCAGUCUACAAAUAAUUGAAGAGACAUUGAUCCCUUAAAUUGAGGGGAUGAAUGCAGAAGAUGAUGACAGAGUGAGUGUGAGCAUGAGAUGUUAUUUUACUUCAAGUUCAUGGUCAAAUACUGUCCCCAGAGUACCCCUCAUGGGGCCACUCAGCUACACACAGAGAAAGCUGUGAGAGUUGUCAGGCCUGAGCCAGAGGCAUCAGCCCAGCCCGCUUCCUCUCAGCUACAACAGGAAAUGAGUGUCCAGGACUCUGCUCUGCUAGGGGACUACAUGUGCUCUGUCUUCUGCAAUUACCCAGUCUUGAGCACAGCACUUGGCACACAGCCGUCCCUCUACGACUACUGACUGGAUGAAUAAAUGAAUGAGCAAAAGGACAGAUGAAUGCAGCCCA
Molecule: non-coding RNA, 526 nt
Organism: Heterocephalus glaber (naked mole-rat)
Lineage: Eukaryota; Metazoa; Chordata; Mammalia; Rodentia; Bathyergidae
Source: RefSeq, a predicted model, not a curated record